Molecule: ribosomal RNA, 120 nt
Filed under: Notechis scutatus (mainland tiger snake)
Lineage: Eukaryota; Metazoa; Chordata; Lepidosauria; Squamata; Elapidae
Source: RNAcentral
CUGUUUAGAGAAAUCUAGAUAGUACUUAGAUAUCCUCAUCAAGGAUCAGAAGCUAAACUGAAUUGGGCCUGGUUUAGUAUUUGCAUGGAAGACUAGUGGGAAUUUUAGGGUCUAGGCAGA